AACGAACGCUGGCGGCAUGCCUAACACAUGCAAGUCGAACGAGAUCUUCGGGUCUAGUGGCGCACGGGUGCGUAACGCGUGGGAAUCUGCCCUUUGGUUCGGAAUAACAGUUGGAAACGACUGCUAAUACCGGAUGAUGACGAAAGUCCAAAGAUUUAUCGCCAGAGGAUGAGCCCGCGUAGGAUUAGCUAGUUGGUGUGGUAAAGGCGCACCAAGGCGACGAUCGUUAGCUGGUCUGAGAGGAUGAUCAGCCACACUGGGACUGGGACACGGCCCAGACUCCUACGGGAGGCAGGAGUGGGGAAUAUUGGACAAUGGGCGAAAGCCUGAUCCAGCAAUGCCGCGUGAGUGAUGAAGGCCUUAGGGUUGUAAAGCUCUUUUACCCGGGAUGAUAAUGACAGUACCGGGAGAAUAAGCUCCGACUAACUCCGUGCCAGCCGCCGCGGUAA
This 449-nucleotide ribosomal RNA is filed under the name uncultured bacterium. RNAcentral's name for it is "partial 16S ribosomal RNA". It matches the Rfam family "Bacterial small subunit ribosomal RNA", at positions 29 to 523 of the family's 1533-position model. The record is from RNAcentral.